RNAcentral lists this small nucleolar RNA (103 nucleotides) under Fukomys damarensis (Damara mole-rat). RNAcentral describes it as "Small nucleolar RNA SNORA32 (ENSFDAG00000004970.1)". The record is from RNAcentral. Lineage: Eukaryota; Metazoa; Chordata; Mammalia; Rodentia; Bathyergidae.
UGCUUUCAAAAAUGGAUAUGAGGUAUGCUGUGGACAUGGGCAUAAGAAAAUUCCUGCUGGGUUUUCUAUCUGCUACAUUGCUAGCAAUCUAUUGUGAACAUUU